GCGAAUAUAGUUCAGUGGCAGAACCUCAGCUUCCCAAGCUGAUGGUGAGGGUCCGAUUCCCGUUAUUCGCUCCA
Molecule: transfer RNA, 74 nt
Filed under: Clostridiales bacterium
Lineage: Bacteria; Bacillati; Bacillota; Clostridia; Eubacteriales
Description: tRNA-Gly
Rfam family: tRNA
About the family: Transfer RNA (tRNA) molecules are approximately 80 nucleotides in length. Their secondary structure includes four short double-helical elements and three loops (D, anti-codon, and T loops). Further hydrogen bonds mediate the characteristic L-shaped molecular structure. tRNAs have two regions of fundamental functional importance: the anti-codon, which is responsible for specific mRNA codon recognition, and the 3' end, to which the tRNAs corresponding amino acid is attached (by aminoacyl-tRNA synthetases). tRNAs cope with the degeneracy of the genetic code in two manners: having more than one tRNA (with a specific anti-codon) for a particular amino acid; and 'wobble' base-pairing, i.e. permitting non-standard base-pairing at the 3rd anti-codon position.
Source: RNAcentral